Molecule: long non-coding RNA, 243 nt
Filed under: Helianthus annuus (common sunflower)
Lineage: Eukaryota; Viridiplantae; Streptophyta; Magnoliopsida; Asterales; Asteraceae
Description: sRNA HanXRQr2_Chr04g0185281
Source: RNAcentral
UCAUGCUAGACGUUUUACGUAUGAUUCAGGUUGAUUUGAAAACCGGUGUGCAGAAGCCGAUUGCGUGGAUUGACGAUGCGGAUGGAUCGUGCUACUUGGAUGUACUAUACUGCACGUAAUACCAACUUAUACACGGAGCAUGUUCAAAGUUUUCUUAAGGUUGCCGAAGCUAAUCGGGUGAAUAAAGGAAGUGGAUCGAUAUGUUGUCCUUGUACAGUUUGUAAAAAUUUUAAAAGAUUUAGU